This is a non-coding RNA of Candidatus Thiomargarita nelsonii, 358 nucleotides long. The record is from Rfam. Lineage: Bacteria; Pseudomonadati; Pseudomonadota; Gammaproteobacteria; Thiotrichales; Thiotrichaceae.
GGAGUUGGUUGGGCAGUCGCUAUAGAGUUUUUAUAGAGGAAAGUCCGGGCUUCAUAGGACAAGGUGCCAGGUAACGCCUGGGGGGCGUGAGCCUACGGAAAGUGCCACAGAAAAUAUACCGCCUUUAAUUAAGGUAAGGGUGAAAAGGUGUCGUUAAGAGCGCACCGCACUACUGGCAACAGUAGUGGCAGGGUAAACCCCACCUGAAGCAAGACCAAAUAGUGGAACGCGAUGUGGUCCGCAUCAUUCCCGGGUAGGUCGCUAGAGGUGCUUGGUGACAAGCAUCCCAGAUGAAUGGCUUUGCCUCAUUGGCUAUAUAAUCAGUGAACAGAACCCGGCUUAUAGACCAACUCCUUUC